This 268-nucleotide ribosomal RNA is filed under the name uncultured Glomus. RNAcentral describes it as "partial 18S ribosomal RNA". It matches the Rfam family "Eukaryotic small subunit ribosomal RNA", at positions 548 to 822 of the family's 1831-position model. The record is from RNAcentral. Lineage: Eukaryota; Fungi; Glomeromycota; Glomeromycetes; Glomerales; Glomeraceae.
UUGGAGGGCAAGUCUGGUGCCAGCAGCCGCGGUAAUUCCAGCUCCAAUAGCGUAUAUUAAAGUUGUUGCAGUUAAAAACGCUCGUAGUUGAAUUUCGAGAUCAGUACGCUGGUCGUGCCUCGGUAUGCACUGGUGUCACUGGUUUCUCCUUCUGAAGAACCGUCAUGUCAUUAAGUUGGUGUGGCGGGUAAUCAGGACUGUUACUUGAAAAACUUAGAGUGUUUAAACGCAGGCUCGCGCUUGAAUACAUUAGCAUGGAAUAACUGAA